RNAcentral lists this ribosomal RNA (254 nucleotides) under uncultured bacterium. RNAcentral describes it as "partial 16S ribosomal RNA". It matches the Rfam family "Bacterial small subunit ribosomal RNA", at positions 524 to 776 of the family's 1533-position model. The record is from RNAcentral.
CACGUAGGGGGCAAGCGUUGUCCGGAAUCAUUGGGCGUAAAGAGCUCGUAGGCGGCUCAGUAAGUCGGGUGUGAAACCCCCAGGCUCAACCUGGGGACGCCACCCGAUACUGCUGUGGCUAGAGUCCAGUAGAGGAGUGUGGAAUUCCCGGUGUAGCGGUGAAAUGCGCAGAUAUCGGGAGGAGCACCAGCGGCGAAGGCGGCACUCUGGGCUGGUACUGACGCUGAGGAGCGAAAGCGUGGGUAGCAAACAGG